RNAcentral lists this long non-coding RNA (2207 nucleotides) under Solanum tuberosum (potato). RNAcentral's name for it is "long non-coding RNA (STUB_LNC008390)". The record is from RNAcentral. Lineage: Eukaryota; Viridiplantae; Streptophyta; Magnoliopsida; Solanales; Solanaceae.
CCUGUGCUGAGCACGACCCAACAUUGCAGGUUAAUUGUUUCAGUUCAUAUAAGCAGGAACAAAAAACAUAAUUUGAUCAAUGCUAGAUUAACUCCAAAGUAUAAAUUGAAGUUUGGUAUGUCGAUUACCAACAAAUUAAAUAAGAUACAUCAAUUGCACACCCAAGAAAGAGAGAUUAAAUGACAUAAUUUGCCUGAUGGAAUCAUGCAUCAAUAAGAUGAAAAGAAUGUAAGGUUGGGAGAAAAGAACUAAAGAACAUGAGUAGUUUAUAAAGAAGUGGUCAUCCAAUUCACCUUUGUUUCGGUGUCUAGCUUUAUUCUCUCUUUUUCACUCUGCAUGCACAUGACAAAAAAUUAAUUAGCUGACCAGGAUCAUUGACAUAUACCACUUAACAUCAAACUGAAAUAACAAUAAACAUGUGAUGUAAGAUAUCAAACACUGGCUUUGGCCCCAUCCCGUAGUUCAUUCACAAACAAAAGCCAACAAUAACAAUAAAUCCAGUGAAAUUCCACAAGUAGAGUCAGGGAAAGGUAAUUUGGGUUCGUUCUCUUGUUACUUCGAAUUACACCCAGAAAACAUCAAUUAAAGUAGUGCGACUAAAGUUUACGAAAGUCCUACUGAAUCUUGAAAUCCCCUUUAAACCCAGUUUCUAAAAUCUCAAAAUCGCUCGUGGCAGAAAAAUGAUCUUACCAGAGAAGAAAACAUUCAUGUUAAUUCGAGAAAUAAAUUAAAAAUGCAGAAUGAGCCUCACUCUCCUUCAAAAAAUUGUCAUUUCAGGUGUAUUUUCUGCCGUUUCUGAUUGGUAAAAUUGAAAGAAUACAAAACUUGUAUAAAAGUCAGCAUCUCUUUUCAAGAAAAUCUAAAUCCAACAAAAGGCCCAUAUGCUAAAAUGCCAAAAAAAAAAAAAAAACUAAAAAUAGUACCUCAAGUCACAAAGAUGAGAACUUUAUGAGGGCCUGCUUCAAUACGAAUUCAAUUUUAUAUCUAUUUGUACUGAAAAAUUGAGUAAUUGCAGGAGAGACGAUAAAUUUAGAAGGAAGAAUUCAUAUGAGAGAAGAAAAGAAUUACAAUGGCAUCUCUCUUUGGGAAUAGCAAAAGUUUGGUUGGGGGAAAAUUGACAUAUACUUGGAUAAAAAGGCUUAUUUUAGAAUUAAAUCAAGUUAAUUUAUUUUUUACGCAAGAGGUACAAAUAUGUCCAGCAAAAAUUAAAGUUAAAGCAAAUAUACAACACGAAUGGAGCAUCUAAAGGUAAUCCUGGACCUAGUUCGGCGGCAUUCUGUAUUAGGGAUCAUGAUGGUAAUUUGAUAGUUGCUAAAGGUUUCAAACUCCCAGACACGACAAAUAUGGUAGCAGAAGCUAUAGCUAUAAGGGAGAGUCUAAUUUAUUGUAGUGAACAUGGUAUUGGACAUGUUAUUCUUGAGACAGACUCUUUAACAAUGGUUCAUAUCUUAGAGGGUGAAUGGGAUGUACCAUGGAGUGUAGCACUCGAAGUUAAUGACAUCAGAAGGUUGAGAGGGGUGGUUUCAGCAAGAGUAAAGCAUUCCUUUCGGGAAGGAAAUACUCUUGCUGUUUUUUUACUAAUCUAGUUUUCCCUUUUGCAGGUGAUUUUCAAAUUAAUCAUUUCCGGGAUAUACCUAGCGAGGGAAGAAAGCUACUCAAUCUGGAUAAGCAAGGCACACCAUACAUAAGGAGACAGAUACAAGAAUACAAAUAACAGUAGCCUCAAAAUUCAAGACCUUUUCUGGUUAUGCAGAGUAUAGUUAAGUUAAUCCUUGAAGUAAAUUCAAUAGAUUUGUGUACUUACACCUGGUGAGAGCCAAAUCAAAGUAUUAGCUUCUUGUGAAUCUGCAAAAAUCAAUAAAGGGAUGUUGCAUAUAAAUUUUCUUAUUCAUAGUGGUAGUAUUAACUAAAUAGAGACUCUAAUGGUUGUAUCAAUCCCAUUGGAAUUCAACCCAUUGAGCCUUUGAAAGGUUAGUAAUACUAUGGUGAAAUGGAGAAGAGGCUCAAAUACUUUACUGCUAUUUCAUAAAGUUCUAAUCUGCAAUGUUUAAAUGAGAUUUAUGUGGAAUAGCAAUUCAAAAUUAGACAAUAAGUGUAUGAAUUGGAUCAAUCAAUCAAAUCACAAAUUACCUGCAAGCUUGUUGGAUUCUGAACUUGAAGGUCAUCCAUCAGGGGAAGUGCUUGGAUUGUGUCUCCAUUCAUCGGAU